RNAcentral lists this ribosomal RNA (1902 nucleotides) under human gut metagenome. Its description in RNAcentral is "bacterial LSU rRNA". It matches the Rfam family "Bacterial large subunit ribosomal RNA", at positions 3 to 1991 of the family's 2925-position model. The record is from RNAcentral.
UCAAGCUAAUAAGAGCGCAAGGGGAAUGCCUUGGCAUCAGGAGCCGACGAAGGACGUGACAAGCUGCGAUAAGCUACGGUGAGGAGCAAAUAUCCUGUGACCCGUAGAUUUCCGAAUGGGGCAACCCGGCUGGACAAUAUCCAGUCAUCCUGCAUUGAAUCAAAUAGGUGUAGGAAGGGAACCGCCUGAACUGAAACAUCUAAGUAGGGCGAGGAAAAGACAUCAACCGAGAUUCCGCAAGUAGUGGCGAGCGAACGCGGAAGAGGCCAAACCGGAGGAUUUAUUCUCCGGGGUUGCGGACAGCUAUACGGAACAAUAGUUUAGCCGAACGGUCUGGGAAGGCCGGUCACAGAGGGUGAGAACCCCGUAGGCGAAAGACGAAUUGUUUCAGGCUGGAUCCAGAGUACCGCAGGACACGUGAAACCCUGUGGGAAACAGGGGGGACCACCCUCCAAGCCUAAAUACUACCUGAUGACCGAUAGAGGAGCAGUACCGUGAGGGAAAGGUGAAAAGGACCCCGGGAGGGGAGUGAAAGAGAACCUGAAACCUUGUGCUUACAAGCAGUCAGAGCACGUUAACGUGUGAUGGCGUACUUUUUGUAGAACGGUCCGGCGAGUUAUAGUAACGAGCAAGCUUAAGGUAUUCAGUACCGGAGGCGAAGCGAAAGCGAGUCUGAAUAGGGCGCAUGAAGUUCGUUGCCAUAGACCCGAAACCGGGUGACCUACGCAUGAGCAGGUUGAAGUGGGGGUGAAACCCCAUGGAGGACCGAACCAACCCCCGUUGCAAUGGUGGUGGAUGACUUGUGCGUAGCGGUGAAAUUCCAAUCGAACUCGGAGAUAGCUGGUUCUCCCCGAAAUAGCUUUAGGGCUAGCGUUAGUUUAGAUUACCGGAGGUAAAGCACUGAAUGGUUUAGGGGCUGAUAAAGUUACCGACGCCUAUCAAACUCUGAAUGCCGGAUAAUUGAUGACUAGCAGUCAGACAGUGUGAGAUAAGUUUCAUUGUCAAAAGGGAAACAGCCCAGACCUACAGCUAAGGUCCCAAAUGUAUGCUAAGUGGAAAACGAUGUGGAAUUGCGAAAACAACCAGGAUGUUGGCUUAGAAGCAGCCACACAUUAAAAGAGUGCGUAAUAGCUCACUGGUCGAGUGACUCUGCGCGGAAAAUGUAACGGGGCUAAGCAUGCAACCGAAGCUUAGGAUUGUCUAAAGACAGUGGUAGGGGAGCGUUCUGUAUGGGGUGAAGUCGCAGCGAGAGCAGCGGUGGACUGUACAGAAGUGAGAAUGCCGGAAUGAGUAGCGAGAAUUAUGUGGGAAUCAUAAUGGCCGAAAAUCUAAGGUUUCUUGGGGAAGGUUCGUCCGCCCAAGGUAAGUCGGGAGCUAAGCUCAGGCCGAGAGGCGUAGGCGAUGCACAUACGGUAGAAAUUCCGUAACCACCGAAACUUAAACAGAGGGACACUUCGAAAUAGCGGAACCCGGGCGUUGGUUGACCCGGGCGAAAGGGAGCGAAAUUAGAGUAGCGAAGUCCGCGAUGUUCGGAGGCGAGAAAAGCUCUGAGGUAUGCUAAGGUGCCCGUACCGCAAACCGACACAGGUAGAUGAGGAGAGAAUCCUAAGGCCAACGGGAGAAGGGUUGUUAAGGAACUCGGCAAAUUGACCCCGUAACUUCGGAAGAAGGGGAGCCCCCUACGGGGGGUCGCAGAGAAAUGGCCCAAGCAACUGUUUACCAAAAACACAGGUCUAUGCUAAAUCGAAAGAUGACGUAUAUGGGCUGACGCCUGCCCGGUGCCGGAAGGUUAAGAGGAGAUGUCAGGCAACGAAGCAUUGAAUUUAAGCCCCGGUAAACGGCGGCCGUAACUAUAACGGUCCUAAGGUAGCGAAAUUCCUUGUCAGGUAAGUUCUGACCCGC